GACGAACGCUGGCGGCGUGCUUAACACAUGCAAGUCGAACGGUAAGGCCCCGCUUUUGUGGGGUGCUCGAGUGGCGAACGGGUGAGUAAUCCGUGAGUAACCUGCCCUUGACUUUGGGAUAACUUCAGGAAACCGGGUAUAAUACCGGAUAUGAGCUCCUGAUGCAUGGAGGGGGAUGGCAUGUUGGGGCGGUUGGGGAUGGACCCGCGGCUUAUCAGCUUGUUGGUGGGGUAGAGGCUUACGAAGGCCUUGAGGGGUAGGCGGCCUGCGAGGGGGCCCAGGCACAAGAGUACUAAGGUACGGCCCAGAGUCCAACUGGGGACAGCAGGGGAGAGUAUGGCACAGUGGGCGGAAGCCUAAGGCAGCAACGCCGCGGGCGGAAUCACGGCCUUCGGGUAGUAAACCGCUUUCGCCUGAGACGUAGCGUGAGUGACGGUAAUGGGUAAAGAAGCACCGGCUAACUACAUG
RNAcentral lists this ribosomal RNA (468 nucleotides) under uncultured bacterium. Its description in RNAcentral is "partial 16S ribosomal RNA". It matches the Rfam family "Bacterial small subunit ribosomal RNA", at positions 28 to 507 of the family's 1533-position model. The record is from RNAcentral.